RNAcentral lists this transfer RNA (93 nucleotides) under Neofusicoccum parvum UCRNP2. It matches the Rfam family "tRNA". Rfam says of the family: Transfer RNA (tRNA) molecules are approximately 80 nucleotides in length. Their secondary structure includes four short double-helical elements and three loops (D, anti-codon, and T loops). Further hydrogen bonds mediate the characteristic L-shaped molecular structure. tRNAs have two regions of fundamental functional importance: the anti-codon, which is responsible for specific mRNA codon recognition, and the 3' end, to which the tRNAs corresponding amino acid is attached (by aminoacyl-tRNA synthetases). tRNAs cope with the degeneracy of the genetic code in two manners: having more than one tRNA (with a specific anti-codon) for a particular amino acid; and 'wobble' base-pairing, i.e. permitting non-standard base-pairing at the 3rd anti-codon position. Lineage: Eukaryota; Fungi; Ascomycota; Dothideomycetes; Botryosphaeriales; Botryosphaeriaceae. The record is from Rfam by way of RNAcentral.
GGGGGUGUGGCGCAACGGUAGCGCGUCAGAUUCCAGUGAUCAUUACGAUCUGGAGCUUCCUGAAGGCUGUGCGUUCAAAUCGCACCAUCCUCA